AGUAACGCGUGGGUAACCUGCCUCAGUACAGGGGAUAACAGUUAGAAAUGAACUGCUAAUACCGCAUAAGCGCACAGUGACUGCAUGGCACAGUGUGAAAAACUCCGGUGGUAUGAGAUGGACCCGCGUCUGAUUAGCUAGUUGGUGGGGUAACGGCCUACCAAGGCGACGAUCAGUAGCCGGCCUGAGAGGGUGAACGGCCACAUUGGGACUGAGACACGGCCCAA
This 227-nucleotide ribosomal RNA is filed under the name uncultured bacterium. RNAcentral's name for it is "partial 16S ribosomal RNA". It matches the Rfam family "Bacterial small subunit ribosomal RNA", at positions 109 to 334 of the family's 1533-position model. The record is from RNAcentral.